This 78-nucleotide microRNA precursor is filed under the name Leersia perrieri. RNAcentral's name for it is "pre miRNA mir-2973". Lineage: Eukaryota; Viridiplantae; Streptophyta; Magnoliopsida; Poales; Poaceae. The record is from RNAcentral.
GACCGCUAGUAAUAAUUGAUUUUCGCUGGCGGUUGAGUUAUACCGGCCGCCAACGAAAAUCGAUUUUUGCUGGCGGUU